AACCAUCAAAAACCCUUUAUUCUUCGAUCCUCAUUCGGUCGGGAAAAGGAGUUUUUGGACUUGGAGGUUCCAUGCUCGCUUUCACUUUUGAAAGUGAGCUCCUCUUAAAUGAAUUAGUGGGGUCUGCUUUGCCGAUCCUUGACGUGUUAAGAUGUUUCUACGUUUUGGACUUGGCACUGUUCCUCGGGCCACCCGCUCCCAACCGUCCACUUGGACAACCAUGGUGCUUCGGUCACCGCCAUCUUACAUCGGUGGUGGAAGGCUGGACCCAUAGAAAAGAA
RNAcentral lists this unclassified non-coding RNA (281 nucleotides) under uncultured Russula. RNAcentral's name for it is "sequence contains ITS2". The record is from RNAcentral. Lineage: Eukaryota; Fungi; Basidiomycota; Agaricomycetes; Russulales; Russulaceae.